RNAcentral lists this ribosomal RNA (497 nucleotides) under uncultured bacterium. RNAcentral's name for it is "partial 16S ribosomal RNA". It matches the Rfam family "Bacterial small subunit ribosomal RNA", at positions 28 to 507 of the family's 1533-position model. The record is from RNAcentral.
GACGAACGCUGGCGGCGUGCCUAAUACAUGCAAGUAGAACGCUGAAGCUUGGUGCUUGCACCGAGCGGAUGAGUUGCGAACGGGUGAGUAAAGCGUAGGUAACCUGCCUGGUAGCGGGGGAUAACUAUUGGAAACGAUAGCUAAUACAGCAUAACAGUAGAUAUCGCAUGAUAGCUACUUGAAAGGUGCAAAUGCACCACUACCAGAUGGACCUGCGUUGUAUUAGCUAGUUGGUGAGGUAACGGCUCACCAAGGCAACGAUACAUAGCCGACCUGAGAGGGUGAUCGGCCACACUGGGACUGAGACACGGCCCAGACUCCUACGGGAGGCAGCAGUAGGGAAUCUUCGGCAAUGGACGGAAGUCUGACCGAGCAACGCCGCGGGAGUGAAGAAGGUUUUCGGAUCGUAAAGCUCUGUUGUAAGAGAAGAACGAGUGUGAGAGUGGAAAGUUCACAGUGUGACGGUAUCUGACCAGAAAGGGACGGCUAACUACGUG